Molecule: non-coding RNA, 122 nt
Organism: Oryzias latipes (Japanese medaka)
Lineage: Eukaryota; Metazoa; Chordata; Actinopteri; Beloniformes; Adrianichthyidae
Source: RefSeq, a predicted model, not a curated record
CCUUCAGGUUGGUAGCAGGCAGUCAGAUGUUGCAGAUGAACUUGGUGACUCCACUGCUUUAACUGGAAUGACAGGCCACUGUUGCUGAAAUGAUGGUCGUCAGCGAUGCUGGAGAAGGCGAG